Molecule: microRNA, 27 nt
Filed under: Oryctolagus cuniculus (rabbit)
Lineage: Eukaryota; Metazoa; Chordata; Mammalia; Lagomorpha; Leporidae
Description: ocu-miR-342-5p
Gene: ocu-miR-342-5p
Source: miRBase by way of RNAcentral
AGGGGUGCUCUCUGUGCGUGAGGGACA